This 421-nucleotide ribosomal RNA is filed under the name Pantoea sp. RNAcentral describes it as "bacterial SSU rRNA". It matches the Rfam family "Bacterial small subunit ribosomal RNA", at positions 1014 to 1435 of the family's 1533-position model. Lineage: Bacteria; Pseudomonadati; Pseudomonadota; Gammaproteobacteria; Enterobacterales; Erwiniaceae. The record is from RNAcentral.
GUGCCUUCGGGAACGGUGAGACAGGUGCUGCAUGGCUGUCGUCAGCUCGUGUUGUGAAAUGUUGGGUUAAGUCCCGCAACGAGCGCAACCCUUAUCCUUUGUUGCCAGCGAUUCGGUCGGGAACUCAAAGGAGACUGCCGGUGAUAAACCGGAGGAAGGUGGGGAUGACGUCAAGUCAUCAUGGCCCUUACGAGUAGGGCUACACACGUGCUACAAUGGCGCAUACAAAGAGAAGCGACCUCGCGAGAGCAAGCGGACCUCACAAAGUGCGUCGUAGUCCGGAUCGGAGUCUGCAACUCGACUCCGUGAAGUCGGAAUCGCUAGUAAUCGUGGAUCAGAAUGCCACGGUGAAUACGUUCCCGGGCCUUGUACACACCGCCCGUCACACCAUGGGAGUGGGUUGCAAAAGAAGUAGGUAGCU